Molecule: ribosomal RNA, 923 nt
Filed under: uncultured Bacteroidota bacterium
Lineage: Bacteria; Pseudomonadati; Bacteroidota
Description: bacterial SSU rRNA
Rfam family: Bacterial small subunit ribosomal RNA
Source: RNAcentral
GGAUCCAGACUUUGAUUAUGGCUCAGGAUGAACGCUAGCUACAGGCUUAACACAUGCAAGUCGAGGGGCAUCAGUUUGGUUUGCUUGCAAACCAAAGCUGGCGACCGGCGCACGGGUGAGUAACACGUAUCCAACCUGCCUCAUACUCGGGGAUAGCCUUUCGAAAGAAAGAUUAAUAUCCGAUAGCAUAUAUUUCCCGCAUGGGUUUUAUAUUAAAGAAAUUCGGUAUGAGAUGGGGAUGCGUUCCAUUAGUUUGUUGGCGGGGUAACGGCCCACCAAGACUACGAUGGAUAGGGGUUCUGAGAGGAAGGUCCCCCACAUUGGAACUGAGACACGGUCCAAACUCCUACGGGAGGCAGCAGUGAGGAAUAUUGGUCAAUGGACGCGAGUCUGAACCAGCCAAGUAGCGUGAAGGAUGACUGCCCUAUGGGUUGUAAACUUCUUUUAUAUGGGAAUAAAGUGGUCCACGUGUGGAUUUUUGUAUGUACCGUAUGAAUAAGGAUCGGCUAACUCCGUGCCAGCAGCCGCGGUAAUACGGAGGAUCCGAGCGUUAUCCGGAUUUAUUGGGUUUAAAGGGAGCGUAGGCGGAUUGUUAAGUCAGUUGUGAAAGUUUGCGGCUCAACCGUAAAAUUGCAGUUGAUACUGGCAGUCUUGAGUGCAGUAGAGGUGGGCGGAAUUCGUGGUGUAGCGGUGAAAUGCUUAGAUAUCACGAAGAACUCCGAUUGCGAAGGCAGCUCACUGGUGUGUAACUGACGCUGAUGCUCGAAAGUGUGGGUAUCAAACAGGAUUAGAUACCCUGGUAGUCCACACAGUAAACGAUGAAUACUCGCUGUUUGCGAUAUACAGUAAGCGGCCAAGCGAAAGCAUUAAGUAUUCCACCUGGGGAGUACGCCGGCAACGGUGCAACUCAAAUGAAUUGACGG